ACUAUCAUAGUUUAUACAAAACAAUAAUUUGUGGAAUUAUAAAUAAACUAAUCAAA
RNAcentral lists this transfer RNA (56 nucleotides) under Parachtes limbarae. RNAcentral's name for it is "tRNA-His". Lineage: Eukaryota; Metazoa; Arthropoda; Arachnida; Araneae; Dysderidae. The record is from RNAcentral.